GUGUCAGCAGCCGCGGUAAGACGAACCGUGCGAACGUUAUUCGGAAUCACUGGGCUUAAAGCGCGUGUAGGCGGGAAUGUACGUCCGUCGCUGAAAUCCCCCGGCUCAACCGGGGAAGUGGCGCGGAUACGGCAUCCCUUGAGGGGCGUAGGGGGACCUGGAACUUCCGGUGGAGCGGUGAAAUGCGUAGAUAUCGGAAGGAACGCCGGUGGCGAAAGCGGCGCGCUGGACCCUUACUGACGCUGAUGCGCGAAAGCCAGGGGAGCAAACGGGAUUAGAAACCCCAGUAGUCC
Molecule: ribosomal RNA, 293 nt
Filed under: uncultured bacterium
Lineage: Bacteria
Description: partial 16S ribosomal RNA
Rfam family: Bacterial small subunit ribosomal RNA
Source: RNAcentral